This 1539-nucleotide long non-coding RNA is filed under the name Papio anubis (olive baboon). Its description in RNAcentral is "lncRNA (ENSPANG00000049306.1)". Lineage: Eukaryota; Metazoa; Chordata; Mammalia; Primates; Cercopithecidae. The record is from RNAcentral.
GUUCUUUGCAGGAACAUGGAUGGAGCUGGAUGCCAUCACCCUUAGCAAACUAACCUAGGAACAGAAAUCCAAAUACCACAUGUUCUCACUUAUAAGUGGGAGCUAAACUAUGCGAACACAUGGACACAUAAAAGGGAAAAACACACACUGGGGCCUACUUGAGGGUGGUGGGUGGGAGGAGGAAGAUCAGAAAAAAUAACUAUUGGGUACUAGGCUUAGUAUCUGGGUAAUGAAAUAAUUAGUACAACAAGUCCCCAUGACAUGAGUUCACUUAUAUAAUAAACCUGCACAUGUACCUCUGAACCUAAAAUAAAAGUUAAAAAAAAAAAAAUCAGCGUUCCUUGAAAAAAAAAAAAAACUGGCUUUUUUUUUUAAAAGGAAAAAAACAACAUCAAAAUUCCAAAAACGAGUAACCUACAAGCAAUAACACAACAAUGACAAAGCCUGUCAACCAUCAAAAAUGUCAGGAAAAUUACAGUUAAAGCAGUGAUGAGCACAGAUUUUCUUUCCCAAGUAUGAUCACUGGAGAGAACUGGAGAGAACUGACAGACUGGGCUGUUUGAACAAGCUGGUGAUUGGGUCAUUUCUCUUUAGCCCUGUCCGGUUGGAUACUUGUCCAUGAUUCGUAGUCUCCUCUCAAAAUACAAUCAUCUCCAUCUCCUCCUCUCUUCAAUUUAUUCCUGUAUGUUAGCUUCACUUCCUGCUUCACCAAGGAAAAAGAAACUAAGAGAAAGGAGCUCACUCAACUUACGUAGUUCUCCUUUCUCUGCUGCCUCAUCAGGGACUCCUUCCCUCAAUUAUUCCCCAGAUCUCAGUGGACACAGCACCCACAUUUUGAGCCUCAAAUGAAAACAAUCAACUAAGGAUGGAGCAGAGAGCCAAGAAGGAGUCUGUUCCUCAAUCUCGUACCUUUUAAGACUACCCAUCUAGAAGAGAUCGUGAACAGACAUUUCUCAAAAGAGGACAGACAAGCAGCCAAGAAACAUGUGAAAAAAUACUGAACAUCACUGAUCAGCAGAGAAAUACAAAUCAAAACCACAGUAAGAAACCAUCUCAUACCAGUCAGUCUCAUACCAUCAUCAUUAAAACAUCAAAAAAUAAUAAAUUUUGACUAGGUUGCAGAGAAACAGGAAAGCUUCUACACUGUUGGUGGGAAUGUAAAUUGGUUUAGCCACUGUGGACAGCAGUUUGGAUAUUUCUCAAAGAACUAAAAAUAGAACUACCAUUUGACCCAGCAAUUCUCUUACUGGAUGUAUACCCAAAGGAAAAUAAAUUGUUCUAUCAAAAAGACACAUGCGCACGAAUGUUUAUUGCAGCACUAUUCACAAUAGCAAAGAAUGGAAUCAAUCUAUGUGCUCAUCAAUGGCAAAUUGGAUUUAAAAAAAGUGGUACAUAUACAUCAUGGAAUACUAUGCAGUCAUUAAAAAACCCCAAAAUUAUGUCCUUUGCAGCAACAUGGAUGCAGCUGGAGGCCAUUAUCCUAAAUGAAUUAAUGCAGAAACAGAAAACCUAAUACUGCAUUUUCUCACUUAUAAGUAG